RNAcentral lists this ribosomal RNA (433 nucleotides) under uncultured bacterium. RNAcentral's name for it is "partial 16S ribosomal RNA". It matches the Rfam family "Bacterial small subunit ribosomal RNA", at positions 29 to 507 of the family's 1533-position model. The record is from RNAcentral.
AACGAACGCUGGCGGCAGGCUUAACACAUGCAAGUCGAGCGAGACCUUCGGGUUGAGCGGCGGACGGGUGAGUAACGCGUGGGAACGUGCCCUUCUCUACGGAAUAGCCUCGGGAAACUGAGAGUAAUACCGUAUACGCCCUUUGGGGGAAAGAUUUAUCGGAGAAGGAUCGGCCCGCGUUGGAUUAGGUAGUUGGUGGGGUAAUGGCCCACCAAGCCGACGAUCCAUAGCUGGUUUGAGAGGAUGAUCAGCCACACUGGGACUGAGACACGGCCCAGACUCCUACGGGAGGCAGCAGUGGGGAAUCUUAGACAAUGGGGGCAACCCUGAUCUAGCCAUGCCGCGUGAGUGAUGAAGGCCUUAGGGUUGUAAAGCUCUUUCAGCUGGGAAGAUAAUGACGGUACCAGCAGAAGAAGCCCCGGCUAACUCCGUG